UUUCUGUUUCGAAUUGAUUUCGAGUCCAACAGAGGUAGUCACUCAAUUAUGACGAGUGAACCCUUUGUCGUGACAUCGAGAACUUUUCGAUAUUAUCGUCC
This 101-nucleotide microRNA precursor is filed under the name Haemonchus contortus (barber pole worm). Its description in RNAcentral is "microRNA hco-mir-5907 precursor". The record is from miRBase by way of RNAcentral. Lineage: Eukaryota; Metazoa; Nematoda; Chromadorea; Rhabditida; Trichostrongylidae.